CAGUGUUACAACUCUUUUAGAAUUUGUCUAGCAGGUUUUCUGGUCUUAACUGAAAAGCCCUA
This is a small nuclear RNA of Callithrix jacchus (white-tufted-ear marmoset), 62 nucleotides long. Its record names the gene U7. It matches the Rfam family "U7 small nuclear RNA". From Rfam's summary of the family: Animal histone pre-mRNAs are spliced by a different mechanism than nuclear pre-mRNAs and self-splicing introns. This processing involves the U7 snRNP, which contains only one RNA species: U7. The 5' end of U7 RNA is thought to base-pair to a conserved spacer element downstream of the cleavage site in histone pre-mRNA. The record is from Ensembl. Lineage: Eukaryota; Metazoa; Chordata; Mammalia; Primates; Cebidae.